GACGAACCGUGCGAACGUUGUUCGGAAUCACUGGGCUUAAAGGGCGCGUAGGCGGUCAGUCGCGUCUGCUGUGAAAACUCGGGGCUUAACUCCGGGCCUGCAGUGGGUACGGGCUGACUAGAGUGCGGUAGGGGAGACUGGAAUUCCUGGUGUAGCGGUGAAAUGCGCAGAUAUCAGGAGGAACACCGGUGGCGAAGGCGGGUCUCUGGGCCGUAACUGACGCUGAGGAGCGAAAGCAUGGGGGAGCGAACAGG
RNAcentral lists this ribosomal RNA (254 nucleotides) under uncultured bacterium. RNAcentral's name for it is "partial 16S ribosomal RNA". It matches the Rfam family "Bacterial small subunit ribosomal RNA", at positions 524 to 776 of the family's 1533-position model. The record is from RNAcentral.